Non-coding RNA from Salvelinus sp. IW2-2015, 281 nucleotides. The record is from RefSeq and is a predicted model, not a curated record. Lineage: Eukaryota; Metazoa; Chordata; Actinopteri; Salmoniformes; Salmonidae.
UGCACCAUGGGAAGAGAACAGCAGCACCGGGAACCUGCUGGGAGAGCGACAUGUCUCUGCCCAUGCCCGACUACGGCCUGACUGCCCGCCGCUGGCACAGAGCCUGGCACAGAGCAGACCCAGGCCCUACAGCAUGGCAGGCUUACCACACAGCCUGCCCUUGAGGACUAUGACAGUCGCUUUGCUGCUGCAAGUUCUGAUCCCGAUGGCAAAUUGAUUUCGACAGUGUGAGAACAGACAGAGACAGCUCCCUACCGGAUAGCACAGGGGCCUCCCCCUCU